UACGGAGGAUGCGAGCGUUAUCCGGAUUUAUUGGGUUUAAAGGGUGCGUAGGCGGACUGUCAAGUCAGCGGUAAAAUUGAGAGGCUCAACCUCUUCCCGCCGUGGAAACUGGUAGACUUGAGUGCAGGAGAGGAGAGUGGAAUUCCAUGUGUAGCGGUGAAAUGCGUAGAUAUAUGGAGGAACACCGGUGGCGAAAGCGGCUCUCUGGCCUGUAACUGACACUGAGGCUCGAAAGCGUGGGGAGCAAACAGG
Molecule: ribosomal RNA, 252 nt
Filed under: uncultured bacterium
Lineage: Bacteria
Description: partial 16S ribosomal RNA
Rfam family: Bacterial small subunit ribosomal RNA
Source: RNAcentral